This is a long non-coding RNA of Peromyscus leucopus (white-footed mouse), 9239 nucleotides long. RefSeq lists it as uncharacterized. Lineage: Eukaryota; Metazoa; Chordata; Mammalia; Rodentia; Cricetidae. The record is from RefSeq and is a predicted model, not a curated record. The transcript is spliced from 4 exons.
CUCACAGAGAUCCGCCUGCCUCUGCCUCUGCUGGGACUAAAGGUGUGACUCACUAUGCUUGGCUAUGAUAUAUUCUUCUUUUAAUGCUAAUGAAACAGAGUUCUAGGUAGUUUUGAUAACAAAUAAACAUUUGAAAAUGACAGGGGGGAGAAAAGGCCCAUCCUUUGCCAAUUGAUAAGAGAGAAUUCUGGUAUUUUCCUAUUCGAAUUAUGACGGUGUGGUAUGAUAUUAUUUUGUUCAAAACAAGCAUGAAAUCCCAGAUGCAACACACAGUGAAUUUAAAGAAGAAACAGCUUUGAAAGCCUUAAUCUUUUGUUACAUUUCAGAUGUAAACCCACUAGAGAACACUCAUCAUCCAAGAUUUUACCAUCUUAAAGACGGCCUUCUUCUGAAGUGAUAACAGAACUAGAAGUCACAAACACUAUUGCUCCUUAUGCAAUAGAUUUGGAAACAGAUUGGCAUGGCCUCCCCAAAAAAGAAUUCAAAAACUAGUGCUGAUUGUUAGUCUUAAUCCCACAUAGGGCUGAUUUAGGAAGGUGGCCCACCGAGGACCACUGAACUGUGUUCCUAACUUCUGUCCCUCAGUGAGUACUCCUCACAUUUUAGUGUGUAGCUUGAGGGCACACUGGAGUCAGUGGAGUGAAUGGAGUUGGUGGGUGGGAUCGUGAGUGUAGAAGUGGUCUUAAGCCUGAGAUACUCUGUGCCUUCUCUCAGCCCAAUGGGCUACUGGAUGGCCUCUUUCUUCAUUAGAGGGCCUGGCUCAAGAUUAUUUACAGUUUUGAAUGGUGAAUAUGAGGGUAUCAUUUCAUGUCACCAUUUAUUGAUGAACAUGAGAGUAUCAUUUCAAGUGGGAAAUAUGUUUAUGCACCGAGGAAAUCCCUAGCUUCCCUGAGCAAUCUCUCAUAGCAGACAUUUGUAUCUAGGCAGUGUUUAUUGAUCAAGAUGGGCAAGACUGGAUAGAGUCAAAGUAAUAGUGACAGCAUCCCAGAAACAGGAAAUCUUUUAUCUGCAUUCCACUCCUCUAAACCAGAGAGUCCUCUUUUAAAGCACUCACUCGGUGUAAAGGUAAUGUUGAUAUCUAAAUAUGUGUUUACAGCCUUCAUGGAUUUCAAGUGGUCUUUCAAGCUGUAUUCCUACUAAGAAAUGGAAAUGGUGGUGCAUUUCUGUAAUCUCAGCACUUGGGAGGCUGAGGAAGGAGGGUUAGGAGUUCAAGGUCAACCUCAGCUGCAUAAUGAGUUCAAGGCCCUGUCUAAAACCAAACAAACAAAUAAAAUUUAAAAAAUAAGGGAAAUCUCUUUAUCAAUGUCUAGAACAAAUAGUGGCCCAUUCUUAACUCAAGAAUUCACUCUUCAUUCACAUGAAGGUAAGGGGUUGGUAUUUCAAACCUGAUAUCAAAGUCAAUUCACUACCAUGAGAGAAUGAUUUAAAAAGUCUUCUUGGGGGAGGAGUUGAUAGAAGCUCGGACCAAGUUGCUUCAAAUAUCCUGUUGUUAACAUAUAACCGGUUUAGAGAUUAUAAUGGAAAAACUAGGGAUAUGAUACCAAGACAAAGGUGCUGAGAUAAAGUACAGUAGUCUACUUAUUGAUUCAUUUAUUCAGUCAGCAAACAUUCAUUGAGUGCUCACCCUAGGCAAAACACUAACCUUGGAGAGAAAGGUAGGUCUUUGAUCUCAAAGACACUGUGUGGGAGAAGAUGGAUUUUUUCUUUUUUAGACAGAUAAUUACAGUUCAGUGCAAAAGGGAGUCAUUCAAAGUCCAAAACGCAGUAGUACCUCAGGGGAAGAUGUACCUUUGUCUGGCAGGAGGAGGAAAAGUGAUGUUUGAGCUCACUCCUAAUGGAGGUAAAAGGUAUUCUAGGCAGAGGAGAUGAUAUGCGCAAAGCCCAGAGGUGAUGGGGAAGCCUGCCAUUGCCAGAGAAUCAUACCUACUUUGUAUUACGGAGCAUAAACUGUAAAGGGAAUGUUGGAAGUAAAACUGAGGGGUGGGUCCAAGUUAAAAGUUAAAGACCUUAAAGAAGUUAAUAUUUUAUCUUGUGUACCAGACCAAAAAGCCAUUGUAAAUAUCUGAACAUAGAAACACGUUCUAGGAAAGCCAUGCCAUCCGAAGAAUAGAAAAUAUAGAUUGAAAAUAAGAGCCUGUGAGUAACAGUAGUUUUCACAGCUGCUGUUGUGGUGUAAGGGUGCUAAGGAGAAAUGCACUUCAUUAAAUAGAUCUGCGCCCUAGAAGCAGGGCAAGAAUGAAAGCAUAAAGGUAUUUUCUAGAGAAAUAUUCUUUUCUUUUUAAAAAAAGGAAACGACUUCUCACACAUUGCAGUGGUUGUUAAUUUUAGUGUGACCUGCAUGUACCUUUAAAAUACAUGCAUUGUUUUACUUAUGUGAUUGGCAAGUAACUGAGUGGGUGUUUCUAUUACUGUAGCAAAGACAGCAUAAUUGUAGCAAGAAUGCUACCCGGAGCCAGCUGACUUGCCUGCCCAUCUCACUUUUCAGUCUUUGAAGGACUUUGAGGAAGUUGCUGCAUCUCCCUGAGCCACCCUGUCCCUCUUUGUAAGGUGAAGAGCCCAGUGUAAAGGACCCCGGACUCACAACUUUUCAUCCACUAAUCGCUCCUAAUGUUCAUUUCUUACUUCAUCUUAGUACUUUUUAUUUACUUAAUUUUUAUUUUUUUUUUCAGUUUUAAGAGGGAUAGAAGUAUUUCAGAGAUAACUCCUCCCCCAGGGUGUCAUUUAAGUACAAUUCCAUUUUUGUUUCUCCAUGCUUAACUCAUGUAGCCUUCUCCCAGGCAGGGGUGAGGAUGCUGGUUGUUUUGAAGCAUCAGGCUUACUGCUCACAUGAAUCACAUUGCAUCUUCAGAUGAACAAAAAGAGGAGUACUAUUUAAUCACUUCCUAGGCCUACUCAGCUAAAUGGACAAUUUAAGCUCUAAUAUUUCGGUUAUGGAUUUUCCUGUCCAAAAUGAUUCUGUUUGACUCAGGUCAAAUAAUUGGAUGGUCUUAGGAAAGGUAGUAUUGUAAAAAAACUGAGGUCCUUGAAAUGACUGAAAGUGUGCUGCUUCUAACUACAGCUCCUUAUUUAAACUUGUGUAUUUCUUUGGAAACUUGCUGUUACUUAAUGCUUUUUCCUUCCCACUUAAAGGCUGUUUACUUUAUUCAUGUAUCUCCUAGUGCUCCUGGAACUCCGUGGGGUUUGUACCUACAAAACAUCACAGCAGAACCAUUAGUAGGCUGCAGAGACAUGCAGGGGUCCCAGAGCAAAUCAAAAUGUUUUUUUAGUGUAUGACAUGUUUGAAGUUGGUGAAAAUUCAUGACUUCUCUCCAUCAGGCCUGUCUCAGAUUAAGUCAUCAGAGAAAGGUGAGUGCAAAGAAUUUCAUUUAAUAUUUUAAAAUUCUGGAAUCCUUCCCAUUGCAAAGAAUCCAUGCAAGUUUCAUGGAUUUGUUUUUGGCUCUGUUCUCUUUAGUAGUUUGAUUAAAAAGCAAAAGAAAAUUAGUGGUUCACAGUUGCCUUUCAGAACUUCCUGCUUAUACCAUUGCCCAGAUAUACAACUUUUAAAGAGAAAUCGAAAUGUGGUUUGAGAAUAUAGUCACCAAAUGCAAAUAUGCAAAAUAUGUGUGAAAGACUACAUGAGUACCGUUAACAUUUAUUACUUCUUAUGGCAUAGAAAUAGCUUCAAAUGUAUCUUUCAAAACGGAAAAUAAAAUAUUCAAGAAAAUCCUAGGAAAUAAAAGAACCCAAAAGGCUGCAGAUAUAGUGAUCAGCUGUUAUUAAGUAAAAAUCCAUUGAAAGCCAAAUAAAAGGCAUUGUGUAGUGUGUCCCGGCUAAAGCUGAGAACACAAGAGCAUCGUAGUUAAUUAGAACCAAUCAACGGGAUGCUUUGCGACACCUUUCACACGAGUACACCAUCUGAUCUUCACGGUCCUCAUUUCCCACAGUGUUGUUGCAGAAAGGACAGGAAGGACAUAUUUGACUCACUACACUUCGUGACACAUUUUAAUUUCUCUUCCCUCUUUCAUUCUUUUUAAGUAACUGGUUUGGAAAUAAGAUCUUGAAAAACAAAAAUCCUCUAAUGAGAAUCUGACUCAAAGUUUUGUUUUAAUUUUAUCUAUGUAUUUGAGCAUGAGAAAAAUACUGAUUUUUUAAAAAUAAAGUUUAGAUUAUGAAUUUGAAUUAUUAUAUGCGUUUUGUAUGACUGUUGUAGUUGUGGGGGAAAAAACCCUGAGCCUAUCCUGAGCCACUGAAUACAGGGGUAUUAUGAAUGAUUAUUAUAUUGCAAGUAGUUAUCACAUUACACCUAUUCUCAUAAUUAACACAGUACUGAACUAAGUUAACUACAUAAUAUUGACACUAUCUAUCUUAAGGGAAGAUACAGGACUUAACACUGGCCUGUUUUCACAACUCGUUGAGUGCUUGCUUUUACCCAGAAAAACUUAGCCUUAGGUUGAUUUCUUAUUCUCAGGAAAAAUAUUGCUAGGGAAAAAUACUGCUUUUAUCCCAUUUUCAUGAAGUUCACAGUGUGUUUCUUGUAAGUGGUAUUUAAAGUUCUGCCAUGUAUCCUACAUUUAAAAAAAAAAAAAUCUGGUGUUGGUUUGCUGUUCAUCAUCCAACCUGAAAGGCAGACUAUUCUGAGCCACUGAAGGGCUUCAGAACAUUUAAAAAAUAACCUAUGAAAAAAUAUUCACACGUUUUGACAAGCAUUUCUUGUCAAGGUUUGCCCCCCUUUAAAAAGCUAGUUUGUGAACAGCUAGCAGACAGCCUUUUUUUGGAGGCAUAACCAGCAAUAAAACCGGUGCUGUUGCUCUCAGUGAGAUGUCUUAGUUAGAAGUCUAUGGUCCAGUCUCCAGGGUUUACAAAGCAUGGCUUGUCCUUGCAAACGAGCCGCUCUCAAACUCCUCAGCCAUCUCCUGGUAGAAGGAAACAUGCUUUGGAGGAAAGCUAAGCUGUCUGGCUUUUGUUUAUUUAUUUAUUUUUUUCUGGUCUGCAUAUUGUCUCCUCUUACUUCAUACAAGAUGUGGCUUUUUCCCUCUUCCUCGGCAAACCCAUCUCAAAAAUAAAUAAAUAAUAAAUAAAUAAACAAACAGGGAAAAGAAAAAGGCCUUUGCUAAAUAUUCCCUUUCUUGAAAACUCAUAUGCCUGCAGAAAGAAAACAAGUUUUGAGAACCAUCCUCUGCCUAGCAUUAACUGUUUCUCCUCUUUGCACAGGUUUACUCUCCAGCUCGGUGAGAGGGUGCAUCUGUGACCCUUAGCAAACCUACCCUUCAGAUCACCAGCCUCAGGACAAAUAUUUUAGUUUGGAUAAUCAUUUCACACAUAAUAACAUAAAAGUAUGGUGGGAUAUGAUUUCCUUCUGCUAUUAACGACACAGUAACACUUGUAUUUAACUCAAGACGGCUGCAUUUGUCCUGCAGGGCUGGCUGUAAGUGUUAGCUGCUUUCCCAGACAGCCGUUUCUGGGUGGGAAUGCCCUCCGCUUCACGUCAGGACAAGAGCGCCUUUUAAACUGGAGAGCUUGAAGAAAAGACCUUUGCUUAACAGAUGAUACAGGACAAGGAUGAAUUGAAUAGCUCCAGUUACCAGGAUGUAAAAGUCUACAUCAGAAUCAGUCUACUUGGAGCAUACUCUUCUUCAGCAAAGCAGACUGUUUCCUGAGGCAUUUGGAAGUGCUUGGCUACAUUAACAUGGGAUACAGAAUUUGACUGGAUGAAGAAGCUCUAAGCCGAAGACAGAUGAGCCCUGGAUUUUCUUACUUAUCUGUAAACCCAUUGUCUGUUCUGAGCAGGUCUUGGGGAAAGAAUACUAUACAAAGUUCUCAAAGUUGCUAUUUCUCAUGAGCAGGGCACAUCUUAAGACAGGAGAAGAGUGUUAAGAGUAGACCUCAGGCUUCAUUCUAAGUGACUCCCUGAGGUUUCCCAUGUGAAUUCAUGAUUUGCCCAUGCCUUGAGCUAACCUGUUGAAGCUCCCAAGAUGAACAAUGUGAAUGUUCUCUUCUUCAAACUUUAAAUAAAAGUCGUACGCUGAGUUGCAGAGAAGAGGAAUUAGCUACCUUACCACCAAGACGCUGCUCUUCUCAAUAACAAUGUGCUCCACAAAUUUCUCAGAACAUCACAUUAAGGUGAUUUGGGGAGAGGUAUUGGGAUGAAAUUAGAUCUGGAGAAUUCUUUGGACUCUUCCAUGAACUGAAAUUAGGAUAUUUUACAAGAAGGUUGUACAGAAUUAAAAAAAAAAUGGGGAAAAGAUGCUGAUGAUUUCAUGAUUGUAAAUGACAUUGUCAAAUGAAUGUGAAAAUUCAAACUCAUCACACAAGUCACACAAGGACAAAAAUGAAGAAAACUCCAGGUCCCUGUCUGUCUCUGUAUUGGGUCUCCUUACUGCUACUCUCCUGGCUUUUCAGCUUCCCUGCCCUGCCCCAACACUCUACCUAACAGAUAGGCUUGGUUUUCUAGGACACUAGUGCUGGAUGGCUGGGGGAUGGAGGUCGGCAAUCAUAAAGAUGAUGACUCCUGUUUCCUUCCUUGCGCACACCCCACCGAAUGCCACCACCACCUCUCACAAACGUGUGUUUCCCAGUCGUAUGAGAACUUCAGAUGUGAUAAAAUGUCCAUGGAGUUGAUCCAGCCCACAUCUCGUGUUGGCUUCUUUUCAGGAAAACUAGUGGUACAUUAUUUUAUUUUUAUGAGCUUACCGUGUAAAUGCGAGCCUGUUAAGUGAGUUAUUGCCAGCAAUCAGGACCAUUUGUUACAUAACAUCAGUAAGAGGGACUCAGGUGAGAAACAACUCUGAUUGUAGGUGUUUAGUCCCAAUGUACAUCAGUUGUAACUCCUUAAAUGUAUUUCUUCUAGCAGCUAAUUUGAAAUACUUUAUCAGUGAAAGUCUUAGCACAACAGUUAUACAAACAUACAUAGAAAAACAUGAGGAAAUUAAAUCAGACUUAUAAUGUAAACCUUAACAAAAUGAUGGCUUAAUUUGUACUCACUUUGUAAUUUUAACUAAAUAUUGUGGUAAGUAGUUCUUACUUAAAUCCUAAGUAUAUGGGCAUUUAUUAUACACAAUAUGAAAAUACUUCAAGAGGCUUGUGAUUAACGCUGUGGUAUUCAAGCAUUAGUUUACAGCGACUUUCAAUCAAAGACAAAAGGUUCAAGCAGAUGAUGAAACACAUUAAAAAGAUGUAUGUGUACACCCAAGGACUUAAUUCAGACCUGCUCACAGUAACUCAGUUCGAGUUUUUAUCCACAGCAAGUAUCCCUGGAGCUUGACACAGGACUAUUCUUAGGGCAGAGUGGCCAGACAAAGUACAAGAUUGCCUAGUUAACUUUCAUUUCAGAUCAGCAAUGAAUAUUUUUCAUAUAAAAUUAUAUUCCAGACAUUGAGUACAGUUAUUAGAAAAUCAACUAUCACUGAACACCUUGCACGAUUGUUCUUUUCUAGACAUGGCAACCCUACCCUAGGGGUUCUGAAGAGUUCCUACCUAACUCCUUCCCUGACUUCCAUAGCUUAACUUGAGGUCUCUCAAUCAUGCAGACAUUCACUUGAACAUGUAUGUGCUCGUUCUUUAAAGGAUGAUGCCUGGAAGAUUGGAAACCCCCAAAUCCAAAUGUCAGUCAAGCAUGGUGAUCUGACUUAUAUUAUAGACUGAUUGCUAUGUUUUGCAUGCAGUUUGUUCCCCAGUAAUCACAUGGUGGAAGCCUAUUCUUCACUGCAGCCAGGGAAAGGCAGUGGGGUCUUUAAGAAGUAGGACCUCAUGAGAGGCUGUUAGGCCAUUGACUGUAUUGUGCUUGGAUGGGAUUAUGACAGUUCUUAUGAACUCUGGGUCAGUUCUAGUGAGAGUGGGUUAUUGUAAGAGCAAGGCCAACCUCGGAGCUCUUAAAUUGCUCUAUAACUUCCUAUCCUAGGAUACCAUCUCCUUUUUUCAGAAAUGGUCUCACUACUUUGGUACUGACUUCCAAGGGGACCUCACUAGAGCUGAGCUGAGCUGAAGCCAGAGCUGUGGUGUGUUUGACAGUGCUCAAACUUGGGAAGAAAUGAACAAACGUAUUACCUCCCAUUUCCAGAUAGGGAACCAGCACAGACCAAAGUGAGGAUAUCAUCAAAGUCCAAUUGGUGAACCAGGGUGUUUUAUUGGGUUACUUACAGAGGCAGAAGUAACUCCAAGACAGCUGCAUCACCAAAGUCUACCCCAGCAUGGGUGCAAGAUCAUGAAAAUUGGAAUCCUGGAGGACACUGCACAACCUUAGACAGUUGUGAGACUGGAGAUUGGAGAGUGUUCUUUACAGGUAGUUAAACUGGCCUGAGUCUCUUCCAUCGAGCUUAGCUGGACUCUGCUUCUUCCAGACAUCUCAGCUUCUCUAAGUGUCUCUCAGCAGUCCUUACUGCUUAUAUGUGUUUGGCAGAGAGAGGAAUUCAGUGGAUCUGGUCAGUUUUAGGGAUUUCCUGGAGCUUUUGAGUUGUUUACUUCCUGAACUUCAUGACUUUGCUGCAAGACAGCACGUUUCAUCUUCCCUUAGAACAUAUUAUGUCUUCAUGAGCUUCCCUCCAAGAUGGAAGUUGACUACAGAGGAACUCACUGUGCUCUGGAGUCUUUAGAACUAUGAGCUUAAUAAACCUCCUUUCUUUAAAAACGUACCCAGCUUUGGACAUUUCAAUAUAGUAACAAAACAGAAGGUAACAUAUUCCCCCACUCCCUUCUUCUUAGGCUUGUUUCCUCUUGAGAAUUUUGUUCAUGUUUUCAAAUAAAAAUUUAAACAUCAGUAAAUGGAGAGAGGUUGCCAUGUCACUAGUUGUAGUGCCAAGAAGACAUUUUCUUUGUUUUUUUUUUCUCUUUCUCCUUGAAUUUGAAUGCAGUGCUAAUUCUUUGAAAGCAUGUUCUUAAUGUUUGGUACCACUUUUCAAAGAGCACACAGAUGUGACUUGAGUGAGGAGAACCCUUCUCAGCUUAAGUCUGCUCUCAUGGAUUGGUCUUUUAGAGCUUAGGGAAGUUGGGUUCUCUAAGGUUUGAUUUACUAUUUUCUAAGUGAGGCCAACUGAGAGCCCUACAAGUGUCCAGCAACCAAAGAAAUGGAAUAUCAACAUGGUAGACUAGGAAACAAAACACGUAGAAUUGGCAGAUUUGAGAGUGAUUUACUUCAACUAGCUGUGAGAUCCCAUGCAGACCAUUAAGCCCUCAUGAUGCCUGGUAUUCUUUUCAAUAAAACGGGCAUGUUGCCAGGUGGUGGAGGCACACACCUUUAAUUCCAGCACUCAGGGAGGCAAAGGCAG